Molecule: transfer RNA, 65 nt
Filed under: uncultured Acetatifactor sp.
Lineage: Bacteria; Bacillati; Bacillota; Clostridia; Lachnospirales; Lachnospiraceae
Rfam family: tRNA
About the family: Transfer RNA (tRNA) molecules are approximately 80 nucleotides in length. Their secondary structure includes four short double-helical elements and three loops (D, anti-codon, and T loops).
Source: RNAcentral
ACAUUAGCUCAGUUGGUAGAGCACUUGACUUUUAAUCAAGGUGUCGGGAGUUCGAGUCUCCUAUG